AUGGGGUGACGGGGGUCUCUCUCUCUCUCUCUCGAGUGGUUUAAAAUCCCGUCGUUUCUCCGUCGGGACGGUAAACCGCUUUUUAACGGCACUUCCGGCUCCGAAACGGUGUUUUUCCCCCAAGUCCGCAUAGAUCUACUAAUGGUAAAGAGGUGUAUUCCCUGCUGGUCGGGAGGCGGAGUUUCCGAGAUGUUUGCUUUGAUCUCCAAAGCCACGUGGGUGUUGUUUACGUGCGAGGCGCCUAAUAGGUUAGCGGAUGAAGGGACUCAGGUCAAGGAAAGCUGACAGGUCUGGAUCUCAAACCACCUAGUCCUUGAUGUGUCUCUUGGUACAGUAGCUGGAAAUCAGGUUUGCAUGGGCAGAGUGUCAAAAACGGGACGUGAUGACGUCUGGACGGAGUCUCCUACCAGUUCGCUCGAACCGGAUAUAACCGGCUGAAUACCACCACUGGAUUUGUUACCUUCGUUACAGGUAACGUCAUCAGUGCUGAAGCCUGAGCUACAAAUAUUCUUGUCCAUCAGGAAAAAAAGAAAACAGCUGAUAAGAGGGAAAAGGAGCUGCCGAAGGAACCAGGGAAAGGAAGGCUGUGGCACGCUAAGUUUGCCAUCACGGCCCUAUACAAUUCCAGACAAGUGGCUGCCCCAUCUAAACAGAUACUAUUAAAAUAACAUUAAAACUAAAACGGACGAAUAUUUUGCCAAAGAUUCAGGCGCUGUCCCAUACUGUGCCAUCCAUACGAGACCAGGGGAAAGCUUUCCCCGUUGAACUCCCGCCACCAUUCACUCACCAACGUAGUCUGGAU
Ahaetulla prasina is the source of this 802-nucleotide long non-coding RNA. RefSeq lists it as uncharacterized. The record is from RefSeq and is a predicted model, not a curated record. The transcript is spliced from 5 exons. Lineage: Eukaryota; Metazoa; Chordata; Lepidosauria; Squamata; Colubridae.